AGAUUAGACUGCGAGACAACAUAAUCGUGAAGUUUAAGAAACAAAUAUUGUAUCCAAAGCAUCUUGUACUUCUUUUGAUGAAUUCGUGUAAUCUCUCCAAGUGCUAGAGGGUUUUGAUGAAACGUUGGUUGGUAAAUUAGUAUGAUAUGAUGGAAUAAGAAAGUUUUGCAUCCAUGUUUGGUGAGGUUAAUUGGUGCAAUCCCAAAAAUGUGCAUAUAAUGGCAUAGGUGCUCCAAUCAAAAUCUUCUUCCUUUGUGUUCCAGGUUGAAAUUGAGUGCAAAAUUAAUAUUUUGGUUUCGGCAGC
Molecule: long non-coding RNA, 304 nt
Filed under: Phoenix dactylifera (date palm)
Lineage: Eukaryota; Viridiplantae; Streptophyta; Magnoliopsida; Arecales; Arecaceae
Description: long non-coding RNA (PDAC_LNC004110)
Source: RNAcentral